UCUCCUUUAGCAAGGGCAAGUACUCAGCCCC
Molecule: non-coding RNA, 31 nt
Filed under: Homo sapiens (human)
Lineage: Eukaryota; Metazoa; Chordata; Mammalia; Primates; Hominidae
Source: RNAcentral